UCUCGCGCCGCCCCCGUUUUACAUCGGUUAUCUUUUUGUCAAAUAAUUGUCAAGCAAAGUACUCAUUGAAAUAUUGAAUAACUCUGUAUCUGUAGCUGCAACCACUUUAUUCAAUAAUUGUACAGCAACAGAAACAGAUUUCUCAGCAGUUCAAAGAAACACAAUGGAAACAGAGUCCUCUGCCAUUAACGAAGCUUACAAGCACCUAAAAGCUGUUCCUAAUCCAGACGGUUCACUCACCCGAUCUGAAAUUUUCCCCAGCGUUCCUCCCACACUCCAACUCCAAGCUAACUCACCCUCUGAAACCCAACUCGCUCUCUCCAAAGACAUUCAUCUUCACAACUCAAACAUAACAUUUCUCCGCCUCUUCCGGCCUGCCAACCACGCUGCCAAGCUUCCGGUCAUCAUUGAUUUUCAUGGGAGUGGCUUUGUUGUUUGUAGCGCGGCAUCAGCUCCCUUUCAUGAAAUGUGGACCUACGGUUCUGCUUUUGUCCCUGCUUUGAUCAUAAGCGUUGAAUAUCGUCUAGCGCCAGAGCAUCGUCUUCCAGCUGCGUAUGAUGAUGCAAUGGAGGCCGUUAUGUGGGUACGUGAUCAAGCUAGAGAAGUUAAUGGCCGUGAUCCGUGGAUGGAAGAGUUAGCUGAUUAUUCCAACGUUUAUAUUAUGGGUGCCAGUGCUGGUGGUAAUAUUGCUUACCAUGCAAAUUUAAGUGCUCUGGACGCGGAUAUCAGUCCAGUCCAGAUCAAAGGGAUAAUACUGAAUCAGCCCUUUUUCGGAGGGGUUCAACGAACCCAGUCUGAAGAAAGGUUAAGCACUAAUCCAUCUUUACCACUGAAUGUCAGUGAUCUGAUGUGGCAGCUGGCAUUACCACUUGGAUCUGAUCGCGACCACGAGUAUUCUAACCCAUUAAUUAAAUGUAAUCCGAAGAUCAAACAGUUAACAAGGUGUUUGAUAAGAGGUUUUGAAGGGGAUCCGCUAGUGGAUAGAAUAAAGGGGUUGGUGAAGAUGUUAGAGGCCAGUGGGGUGCACGUGGUGGCCAAGAUCCAAGACGGAGGUUUUCAUGGUGCAGAUGUAUUUGAUGAAAGCAAGAUGAAGGAAUUGUUUUCACAGAUCAAGGAUUUCAUCUACGCUUAAACAAAGGAAGUUUAAUAUGUUAUGUUAUUGAUAUUUUACUUGCUGGAAAGUAGCCCAUUAAUAAAAAGCUUAGAACAUUGUCAGACAAUGCAAAUAGGAUGUUAACAAUACCUCUAUCUUCCCAAAUCUUCUUUAACAUUGCAGCCAUGCGUAUAAAUUGCCAAAGAUGUUGUAUAAGUAUGUAAAAUUUCGAGCACUGUUAAACUGUAUUUUUUUGAAGCACAGAGAUACAGAACAUGCAUAUAAGAGAGGCAGAUUACACCUGCAAUAUAUAUGAAAUCCUGGCUGAUCAGUGUUGCACGGUCAUUGAGCAUUCCUUCCAAUGGGAAGAUACUGCAGCUACAACAGAUGAGCUCCCUGCACAUAUUUAUACAGAUCCUUAAUUGUCAUCAUUCCAAGUAAGCAUUAAAAGCAUCCGAACAAUAUCAGACUUAGUCCUCUAUUAUAGUUAAGAAUACCAUAAUAGCAUAGGACAUGUUAUACAAGCAUAGACGACGUACUCUAUUAACAAAAAUUGAGUUUUAUCUAGAAAAACAAUACUUUCUCACACAGGUUGGAUUACAUCAAUCUUGAUCUCAGAAAGAACGUCUUUCCUGGUC
RNAcentral lists this long non-coding RNA (1731 nucleotides) under Daucus carota (carrot). RNAcentral's name for it is "long non-coding RNA (DCAR_LNC005110)". Lineage: Eukaryota; Viridiplantae; Streptophyta; Magnoliopsida; Apiales; Apiaceae. The record is from RNAcentral.